UAGGGAAUGUUGCACCAUGGGCGAAAGCCUGAUGCAGCAACGCCGCGUGAGUGAUGAAGGCCCUCGGGUCGUAAAACUCUUUUCAAGAGGAAGAGGAAGGACGGUACUCUUGGAAUAAGCCUCGGCUAACUACGUGCCAGCAGCCGCGGUAACACGUAGGAGGCGAGCGUUAUUCGGAUUUACUGGGCGUAAAGCGCGUGUAGGCGGCUUAUUAAGUUGGAUGUGAAAGCUCCUGGCUUAACUGGGAGAGGACGUUCAAAACUAGUAAGCUUGAGUACGAGAGAGGAAAAUGGAAUUCCGGGUGUAGUGGUGAAAUGCGUAGAUAUCCGGAGGAACACCAGUGGCGAAGGCGAUUUUCUGGCUCGAAACUGACGCUCAGACGCGAAAGCUAGGGUAGUAAACGG
Molecule: ribosomal RNA, 404 nt
Filed under: uncultured bacterium
Lineage: Bacteria
Description: bacterial SSU rRNA
Rfam family: Bacterial small subunit ribosomal RNA
Source: RNAcentral